GAUAGAUCUGCAUAUGAUUUACGUGCCCAUUCGGAAAAAAGUUCUGUUGCUCUUGUGGCUCAAGAGAAAUUCUCCGAACCAAGAGAAGUAGAGAAACUGGUCAUAACACCAAUCAAGAAGGAGCUUGGACUGGCAUUCAAGGGGAACCAAAAAAUGGUGACCGAAGCCUUGGAGGCAAUGGAAGAAAAGGUGGCUAUGGAGAUGAAGGCUGAUCUGGAAUCCAAGGGGGAGGUGGAGUUUCAUGUAUGUACCCUCGGGAAGAAUGUCUCCAUUAAGAAAAACAUGGUCUCUAUUUCCAAGGAAAUAAAAAAAGAGCACCAGAGAGUGUUUACACCUUCUGUGAUUGAGCCCUCGUUUGGAAUCGGGCGGAUAAUAUAUUGUCUUUAUGAGCAUUCAUUCUACACAAGGCCAAGUAAAGCUGGGGACGAGCAGCUAAAUGUCUUCAGCUUCCCACCCCUUGUGGCUCCCAUCAAAUGCACUGUUUUUCCACUGGUUCAGAAUCAAAAGUAUGAAGAAGUAGCUAAGUUACUCUCAAAGUCUUUGACUGCUGCUGGAAUCUCACAUAAGAUUGAUAUAACAGGUACUUCGAUAGGGAAAAGAUACGCAAGAACAGAUGAACUUGGUGUUCCCUUUGCCAUCACUGUCGAUUCAACGUUAUCAGUGACGGUACGAGAGAGGGAUAGCAAAGAUCAGGUCCGGGUAGAUGUGGAGAAGGUAGCGUCAGUUGUGAGGGAAGUGACUGAUGGAUUGAGCUCUUGGGCAGAUGUUUUGAAGAUGUAUCCUCUACAUUCUUCAGAGACUGCAGAGGAGUGAAUCAUCAAAUGAUGAUAGCAUUUAUACCAUUUUUAUCACUUUCAGAAACUCUUAUCCCUUGUCCUGACUUCAGGAAUUUUUAUAGACCUAUUUAACUUCUUUUAAUUUGAAACCCUUAAUUUUACUUCUUUGCCCUGUCUAUUUACUUAAAAGCUAGAAAGUGAUCUGAUCUUGUUGGUCUUGGUCAAUAAGGAGCUCAAAUUGGUGUUAAUUUUCCUCCUCUAUGCUCUUUUUGGUGAUUGUAAUUAAUGAUUGGUUUGUGAGUUUAAUCUCUUUGUAAAUAUAGUAGGGUUCUUUGAUGUUUCAAUAUAUAAAAUUUUUUAUCAUGUUUCUUCUUAUUUAUUUCUUGUAUUUGAUCUGAAUCUGAUGCAAAUUCCCAAAGGAUUGUCAAUUGAAAUUGAUUG
This 1217-nucleotide unclassified non-coding RNA is filed under the name Hevea brasiliensis (rubber tree). Lineage: Eukaryota; Viridiplantae; Streptophyta; Magnoliopsida; Malpighiales; Euphorbiaceae. The record is from RNAcentral.